Long non-coding RNA from Felis catus (domestic cat), 2652 nucleotides. RefSeq lists it as uncharacterized. NCBI's taxonomy places the organism in Eukaryota, Metazoa, Chordata, Mammalia, Carnivora, Felidae. The transcript is spliced from 3 exons. The record is from RefSeq and is a predicted model, not a curated record.
AGCCUAUUUAGGAUUCUCUCUCUCCCUACCAACCUCUCUUUCUCUCUCUCUCUCUCUCUCUCUCUCUCUCACAAGAAAAAAAAUAUUUUUUAAAAAGAAGGGAACUGUCUACAAACCAGGAAGCAGGCUCUCAUCAGGUACCAAAUCGGCCAGCACGUUGAUCUUGGACUUCCCAGCCUCCGUUACCGUGAGAAGCAAAUGUCUGUUGUUUAAGCACCUGGUCUGUGAUAUUUGCCACAGCAGUCUGAAUUGACCAAAACACCUGGUCUACUACGUUCUGGUGAGAUCUUGGGGUAACUGCUGAUCCAGCUUCAGCGACAAGCUCUUGCCUUACUGGAAAUGCAUUAUCAAAUUGCUCUCAGGAUGAGCUGCUGUUCUGCUUGACCUUUGCUUCUGGUUCUCCCUUUACAACACUCCAGACUCACCGGUGGCUCCCCAGGAAACCCUCUGCAUCAUGAAAAUAAGUCACGUGCAGAGAAGAGCAAAGAGGCACCUUCAUAUUAAUUGCAAUGCACCUCGAAGUACAUCAUGGGGUCUCUGAGAUAUGCAGGAGUGGUGGAGGAAACCGAGAGCAAUUCUCAAAAGGAAUCGAACGUUGACGUGCUGAAAAAUUAAGUAAUCUCUCAAACAUCACACGUAGCUGUGAAGUUUCUGAGCCAGGAUUCCAACCCAAAAGAGCUGCCUGAUUUGAAAGAUUGUCCUUUUCACCACUUUUGAAGAUGGAUGCAAUGAAGCUAGACCAAGAAAAGAGUUGCUGAAGACAACAUGGGUUUGUGAGCCCAGCAAAUGAGAAAAUCCGUAUCAGCUAAAUCCAUUUACUAGUUUACUGUUGACUUAGUAGUGGGGGAUAGAAAAAAAAAAAAAAGCCUUGCUAAAGGUGGUAAUAGAGGAAUUCUUUCUAGGCUGCCCUCACAAGAAUUAUCAAUCCUGCCACUAUUUGUCACAAGAGAUUGGAUUCCCCUCUUUAAAGCCAAAAAUGGUUACUGCCCAGUGCUCCAUUCUCUUCAAGAUGCUUGCAAAUUCAUUCACAAAGGAGACCCGCGUUCAAAGGAAGAGUAAGGAAAAGGUUGUUUAAAGCAUUUGUGAGCAAAGGCACCACAUGAAAGAAAAUGCCUCUGCUCAGAGAGUGAGGAGGCCAUAUUUGGGAUCAGGAAUGAUUUUAAAAGGAGUAGGAAAACACCGCCAUAGUGUGAUUUAAGGAUCGAGAAAUGCGUGAGUUAAUUUAGCCUAGAGAUAGGAGACCAAAAAGACAAAUACCCUCCCCAUAUUACUCUUAGUCUGAUGCACACCAUAUUGUGGAAGAAAGGCAAGAGCGAUGUACCAGAUGGCAUAUAUUUAAAUCUCGGUUCCACCACUAACUGUGCCCUGCUCUCUGAAACACAAUUAGCUUAAUGGUCAAAUGAGGGCGAUACACUUACCUUCUCAGGUUUCGUGAGGAUUAUUAAAUGAGAUAACAGAUAAGCAAAGCACUUAGGUCAAUGCCUGGCCCCAGUAAGCGUCAGGUAAGUGGUGUGGCCGAUGAUAACAAUAGCAAUUAGAAAGCAAUGACAACAGCAAUUGCUCAGAAGCACCACAACUAGAUGGUGAUCAUGUCAACACUGGGGACAAAACACGUGGUUUAGACAUGCAAGUGGUAAUACUACGGGGCACAGGGACACACAAUUAAGUCCAAGAACACUUUGGGUAAACAAGGCUGACUGCUUCCUGUGGAAGGGUUGAUAUCUUGAAGACCUCACAUUAUUCUAGAAUAAUCCUAAAAAAAAAAAGAUGCUGGGCAUUUAUGUUUUAUCAGUCCAAAGUGGUGGCUCCUACCCCUACCACUUAUCAAUAGCAUAAACAGCUUGCGAUGGACUUGACCACCAAAUAUAAAAUUCUGUGUUUCAUGCUAAAAUUUUUACAAUGGGUUUGGGUUCACAUUAUUUUCACCUGGACUCAUAAAGUGAAGUAAUAUUAACUUCUGUCACAAAAUCUCACAUAUGCAUAUUUUCAGAUCUCAUAAAAUGUGACGGUUCCCAGGCAGGCCAAAUUCUGAAGUCUGGCAUCUCAACUGAGUAGACAUAGUUGUCUCUCUAUCAAAAGCCAUCCCAACACCCAACCCCACUCCUGCAGAACACACCUAUAUCUGGGAAGCUGAUGCCCCAUGAGGUCACAUUUCUCAGCUACCUUGGACAAGCCAUAGCCUGUGACAAAUUCUGUCCUACAGAAUCUUAGUGACGUUGCCUCCUCCACACUCUUAUCCCUUCCUCAGACUGGAUGCAAAGGAUAGUCUGGCCUUCAGGGAUGGCAAACCAUCAGAGGGAAGGAGUGUGGAUCCCUGCCUCUCAGUGCAUGAAGAGAAGCCACCACUGACUGAUAGGAACAUGAGUGAGAAAUUAAGUUUUAUCGUGUUUGAGACAUUAUACAUCUUUAGGUCUUUUCUUUCUUUCUUUCUUUCUUUCUUUCUUUCUUUCUUUCUUUCUUUCUUUCUAACAAUAGUUCAAGAGAACAAUAGUUCUCUUAGGAGGAAAGCUACACAAAAGAGUUGAGUCCAUAGGACCAGUAGGGACACUUAAGCAACCAAUGAAAUCUAGAUACAUGUAAUUGCACACCUUUAGGAGAAUGUUUAGAAAUUGAACAACUGGCCUCCACUACAAUGUCCAGCCAGUAUACCUG